UACGAAGGGGGCUAGCGUUGUUCGGAAUCACUGGGCGUAAAGCGCACGUAGGCGGAUGUGUCAGUCAGGGGUGAAAUCCCGGAGCUCAACUUCGGAACUGCCCUUGAUACAGCACGUCUUGAGUCCGAUAGAGGUGGGUGGAAUUCCUAGUGUAGAGGUGAAAUUCGUAGAUAUUAGGAAGAACACCGGUGGCGAAGGCGGGUCUCUGGGCCGAUACUGACGCUGAGGAGCGAAAGCGUGGGGAGCGAACAGG
This 253-nucleotide ribosomal RNA is filed under the name uncultured bacterium. Its description in RNAcentral is "partial 16S ribosomal RNA". It matches the Rfam family "Bacterial small subunit ribosomal RNA", at positions 524 to 776 of the family's 1533-position model. The record is from RNAcentral.